RNAcentral lists this ribosomal RNA (484 nucleotides) under uncultured bacterium. RNAcentral's name for it is "partial 16S ribosomal RNA". It matches the Rfam family "Bacterial small subunit ribosomal RNA", at positions 28 to 523 of the family's 1533-position model. The record is from RNAcentral.
GAUGAACGCUGGCGGCGUGCUUAACACAUGCAAGUCGAACGGUGAAGCAGGAGCUUGCUCUUGUGGAUCAGUGGCGAACGGGUGAGUAACACGUGAGCAACCUGCCCCUGACUCUGGGAUAAGCGCUGGAAACGGCGUCUAAUACUGGAUAUGUGAUGUGACCGCAUGGUCUGCAUCUGGAAAGAAUUUCGGUUGGGGAUGGGCUCGCGGCCUAUCAGCUUGUUGGUGAGGUAAUGGCUCACCAAGGCGUCGACGGGUAGCCGGCCUGAGAGGGUGACCGGCCACGCUGGGACUGAGACACGGCCCAGACUCCUACGGGAGGCAGCAGUGGGGAAUCUUGCUCCAUGGGCGGAAGCCUGAUGCAGCAACGCCGCGUGAGGGAUGGCGGCCUUCGGGUUGUAAACCUCUUUUAGCAGGGAAGAAGCGAAAGUGACGGUACCUGCAGAAAAAGCACCUGCUAACUACGUGCCAGCCGCCGCGGUAA